Molecule: ribosomal RNA, 468 nt
Filed under: uncultured bacterium
Lineage: Bacteria
Description: partial 16S ribosomal RNA
Rfam family: Bacterial small subunit ribosomal RNA
Source: RNAcentral
GACGAACGCUGGCGGCGUGCUUAACACAUGCAAGUCGAACGGAAAGGCCCUGCUUUUGUGGGGUGCUCGAGUGGCGAACGGGUGAGUAACACGUGAGUAACCUUCCCUUGACUUUGGGAUAACUUCAGGAAACUGGGGCUAAUACCGGAUAGGAGCUCCUGCUGCAUGGUGGGGGUUGGAAAGUUUCGGCGGUUGGGGAUGGACUCGCGGCUUAUCAGCUUGUUGGUGGGGUAGUGGCUUACCAAGGCUUUGACGGGUAGCCGGCCUGAGAGGGUGACCGGGCACAUGGGGACUGAGGGACGGACCAGACGCCUACGGGAGGCAGCAGGGGGGAAUAUUGCACAAUGGGGGGAAGCCUGAUGAAGCAACGCCGCGUGCGGGAUGAAGGCCUUCGGGGUGUAAACCGCUGUCGCCUGUGACGAAGCGUGAGUGACGGUAAUGGGUAAAGAAGCACCGGCUGACUACGUG